ACGGCCAUACCACAUUGAAAACACCGGUUCUCGUCCAAUCACCGAAGUUAAGCAAUGUCGGGCCCGGACAGUACUUGGGAGGGUGACCACCUGGGAAGACCGGGUGCUGUAGGCU
This 115-nucleotide ribosomal RNA is filed under the name Cordylochernes scorpioides. Lineage: Eukaryota; Metazoa; Arthropoda; Arachnida; Pseudoscorpiones; Chernetidae. The record is from RNAcentral.